RNAcentral lists this ribosomal RNA (450 nucleotides) under uncultured bacterium. RNAcentral's name for it is "partial 16S ribosomal RNA". It matches the Rfam family "Bacterial small subunit ribosomal RNA", at positions 354 to 796 of the family's 1533-position model. The record is from RNAcentral.
GUGGGGAAUCUUCCGCAAUGGACGAAAGUCUGACGGAGCAACGCCGCGUGAGUGAUGACGGCCUUCGGGUUGUAAAGCUCUGUGAUCGGGGACGAAUGGCUGGUAUGCUAAUACCAUAUCAGAGUGACGGUACCCGAAUAGCAAGCCACGGCUAACUACGUGCCAGCAGCCGCGGUAAUACGUAGGUGGCAAGCGUUGUCCGGAAUUAUUGGGCGUAAAGCGCGCGCAGGCGGCUUCUUAAGUCCAUCUUAAAAGUGCGGGGCUUAACCCCGUGAUGGGAUGGAAACUGGGAGGCUGGAGUAUCGGAGAGGAAAGUGGAAUUCCUAGUGUAGCGGUGAAAUGCGUAGAGAUUAGGAAGAACACCGGUGGCGAAGGCGACUUUCUGGACGACAACUGACGCUGAGGCGCGAAAGCGUGGGGAGCAAACAGGAUUAGAAACCCGUGUAGUCC